This 174-nucleotide ribosomal RNA is filed under the name uncultured bacterium. RNAcentral's name for it is "partial 16S ribosomal RNA". It matches the Rfam family "Bacterial small subunit ribosomal RNA", at positions 338 to 504 of the family's 1533-position model. The record is from RNAcentral.
CCUACGGGAGGCAGCAGUGGGGAAUAUUGCACAAUGGGCGCAAGCCUGAUGCAGCCAUGCCGCGUGUAUGAAGAAGGCCUUCGGGUUGUAAAGUACUUUCAGCAGUGAGGAAGGUGGGUAUGUUAAUAGCAUACUCAUUUGACGUUAGCUGCAGAAGAAGCACCGGCUAACUCC